GUGAUCUUUGUAAAGUGAGGUGAAGGAGGAGUUUGUGUAGUGACAACACAAUCACACUGUGUGCAGAAAUAAAAACCUGUUCAACCAAAUAUUCACAUUUAGUUGGGGUAUGAGAAGAGGAGUGCUCAUCUGAAGUUUGUUGGUUUGACCAGCAGGUGGAGCUGCUGCAUUAACAAUAAACUGAGACUCAACCAACCAAACAAGUUCCUGUUUUAGUGAACUUUUACUUUGGACUCAGGAGAGGAAGGUGGCUGUCAAGAAUACUGAACUUAAAAGAUGAUGAAAAACUGUCAGUAAAUGAGGAGAAGAAUCUGUGAUCUGGUGGUUUAGGUUUCAGUGAAAACAGUCAGAGUGAAAGUGAAAGUAUGUGAGCUGAAAAACAGACUCCAUUUUGAGAAAAGAAGAGAGAGGAGAGGACGAGGAGACAGGGUGAGUGUUUACUCUGUUUUAGUUUUAAUGUCAAACUCUUUAUCUGUUUUAUCUGUUAAUGAAAAAAUGAUUUACUGACUAAAACACUUAAAAACUGCAAAACAAAGAAACCAGAGCAGACAAAGAGCUGGAUCAGUUCUUCAUACAGGAAGCUGUGUACGUGCAGUUCUUCCUCCUCUUUGUUUAGACUUGUCUUUUUGGUAAAAAUAUUAAUCAGAAUCUUUUUAGCGUCUCAUUUCAAAUUUAAUCCAGUCUCCUUAAGUUUUUUUCUGAGAGUUCAGGGACCUCACAGCUGAUUUUGUUUUGACCAUGAAUCAGACAAGGAUCAGAGAGAGGCCCUGCAGGGUGGGGAGACAUCAGAAGUUCUUGGAUAUUAAACCUGUAUAACUCUUAAAGAGGGGGAUGAAGCUGUUUUCAGACUCUGUACUUCCUUUCUGAUUCCUCUUUUAUUUCUGAACUCUCUCUUCCUGUUUGUGUCUCACCUGUUUGUCUUCUUUGUCCUCAGGUUGUAUAACUCGGUUUCAGCCUCCAUAAAUUUGCACAACAGAAGAUGGAGAAGAUGAGUGUUUGUGUCGAGGAAGAGGAGGGCAGAGCAGAGUCUGAUAUGUUUGACUGUCUGUCUAUGAAGAGUGACCGGUCUAAAGAUCCUCCACCUGGUCUUCAGUAAAGAACCAGGACCCCCAGAGGAGGACAGAACAAAGUCUGUUAUCUCCAGCUGUCUGUCUAUGAAGAGUGACCGGUCUAAAGAUCCUCCACCGGUCUUCAGUGAAGAACCAGGACCCCCAGAGGAGGACAGAACAAAGUCUGUUAUCUCCAGCUGUCUGUCUAUGAAGAGUGACCGGUCUAAAGAUCCUCCACCAAAAUUCAGUGAAGAACCAGGACCCUCAGAUUCACAGUAAGAGAAACACUUUUCAAUCACCAAACUCUCAAACAACAUCUGAUGUUUCAAAUACAAAACUUUAAAUCCUGACCCCUCUGUUUUCUCCUCUGUUCUCAAAACACUGAUUUUCCUCUUGAACCUGCCAACCUGGAUAAAAUUCAAUUCAAUUCAACUUUAUUUAUAAAGCCCAUUUCAUGUACAAGGCAGACUCAAUGUGCUUCACAACAGGUGUACAUAGUUAAAAACAGUUAUACAAAAAUCAAUUAGAAAUCAAUGUAAGAGUGUAAGUGCAAGUCAACUUCACUGCAUGCACACUUAAACUCGUACAUGCGCACGCACUCACACAUGGACACGUGCACACGUACACACAUACACACACAGUUUAAAAGAAUGCUAUAGAAACCUGUUUUUAAAGAUGGCUACUGAUGUGUCUAACUGUGUCAGGCAGGGUGUUCCAUUUUUGUGGGGCAUAAACACUCAAAGCUGCCUCCCCUUAUUUGGAUCUGGUGUGAGGGAUGAGUAAGUUGCCACUGCCUGUUGACCGAAGUGUUCUUGCUGGGGUGUAGGUGAUGAGCAUAUCUGUGAUGUACUGAGGUGUAAGGCCAUGUAGUGCUUUGUAAACCAGGAGGAGUAUUUUGAAAUCGAUUCUUGUCCUAACGGGUAACCAAUGUACAGAUUUGAGAACGGGUGUGAUGUGUUGAUAUUUUUUGGUACCAGUGAGAAUACAUGCAGCUGCAUUUUGAAUUAACUGUAACCUCUGAAGACUUGAUUUUGGGAGUCCAGUGAAUAAACUGUUACAGUAAUCCAGUUUACUUCUUAUAAAUGCAUGGAUGAAUUUUUCUAAGUCUGAUUUUGACAGAAAGCCCCUCAGUUUGGAGAUAUUUUUGAGAUGAUAGAAAGAUGAUCUUGAAUUAAAUCUUGUAAUGGAUAAAAGGCUGGUAAAGAAAAAGUCACUGAGCACAGAUUUACUUAUUAUUCUUGAUGUUUAUAAAAAUGAAGGGCAUAUAAAACAGCAUUUGAAAAGGAUUCUGACCUCUCGUAUUUUCUGAUUUGGUUCCUGUGUUUGGGACGUUUUGAGCCUGUUAGUCUUUGGACUGUGGUGUAUAGACCCCAGAAAACAGUCUGUGGGUCACAAAAUACCAGAAGACUAAAGAAGAAAUAAAUCCUGAAAAAUAAAAACUCAUUCAGAGCAUCUUUCUGUUAUUAGACCUUUAGAUCUGAUUGGUCAAAAAAAAAGUUUUAAACUGUCAGAGAAAAUCUCUCUACCUUCAAAAAUCAAAGUUUAGUUUUUUUCUCUUGUCAUGACACUUUCAGGCAGCAGCAGCUGAAUAUUUUACAGGAGAUUGUUUUAUGUUAGAGAAAAGAGAAACUCUGGUUUAAUAAAUGUUUCUUAUUCUGUAUCUUUCAAACAUGAAAUAAUAAAGAAAAGAAAUGUUCUUUAUUUCCACAGAGAGACACAGAGAUGUGACUCUGUGGAGGAGCAGCUGUCCAAAUGUUCUUUAUGUCAGGAUGUCCUGAAGGAUCCAGUCUCUACCCGCUGUGGACACCAGUCUACUUCUUCAGGAUACACCUCCUGUCCCCAGUGUGGAAAAAGAACCAGAACAGUUCUUGUCUUUCAGACAGACAGCCAGUCCAGCUCUGAUCGAAGUAAGUCUGAACACCUUUAAACCCUAAAUUAUACAAUUUCUGCCUGAAUUAUUUUGCUUAUUUUAGCCAUAAAAUUGGCAGAAAAUGUCUUAUGAGUGAGUGCUUUUUUAUUCAUUGGCUUUCAACCCUGCAUGAGACUCGGCUCCUGUUUUAGUGUUUUAUGGUUUGUUUUUAGUUAUUUGUUUCUAUGUUUUUAAAUUAGUUUUUAAAAUUAUUUUAACUCUAUUUUACUUUUUUAAUAUCUGCUUUUAUUUUUUCCACUGUUUUAAUUGUUUUUUUAUGUCUAUGCUUUUUUGUCUAUUUAUGUACAGCACUUUGGUUGGCUGUGGUUGUUUUAAAGUGCUUUACAAAUAAAGUUGAGUUUUACCCAUUUUUCCAGAGCACUUAAAACUUUCAAUAUCUGGCUGUCAUUUACGAUUUACUGUCUGUUAAAAAACUUUAACAUUGUAAGAUAAAGAAAAACACAAAAACGGAAUACGAUUUUUUGAGUUUUAAUGAGAAAAAACAGAAAAUAUUCAUGAAAAACAGAUUUUUCAUUUGAAAUAAAAAAAAAUUAAAGAGUAUCAAACAUAUUUACAACAAAAACUUUGGAGUACUGUCUCUCCAAGUGCAAAAACAGGCUGAAUAAAUACAACUGUGUCCACGCGUUUCUCCUCGUUUCUCCUCUCUCACUCAGAGGUCUUUGUGAAACUGUCAGAAGCUGUUCCUUUCUGUCUGCAGACACAGACCCACAUCACACCCCUCACACUUCCAGGCAGUUCUCCUUAUGACAAAGUUUGCAGCGUCGUCUCCUCAUGCCGGUUCUUUGAGACUUCAGCUGUCCAUGGCUUGUUUGGGCACGUAGCUAUACUCUACUAUAAACGGUGAGCAUUUCUGCGAAGUGGAUGUAAUUCUCGGUUGGCAUGUGUUUCUCGGUACAACAUCAACGGUUGCAAAAUGAGAAACCGACAAGAGAAAACCGCCGAAGAUGAAGACUUGUUGGUAAAAAGAGAAGCCACGUCACUAACCAUUGAAGAUGAAUACUCGUUGAUAAAAAGAACGUCACUAACCAUAGAAGAUGAAGACUCGUUGAUUAAAAGAAAAGCCACGUCACUUAUCUGUAAUUAUUUCGGUUACAAAAAGGAUGACGUCACCUAACACCUGUUCUGUGUCGGCAGGGCCUUUCAUCUGUUUCCACAAUAACGUCCCAGCAGAACAAUAAAAACUAAAAAUAUCUCUAAGACAGACAGAAGCCAUUCUACUAACAUGCACUAAAAGAGGGAAGAUCAGUGCAGGUUAACUGUCCUCAAGAUUUCAGCAGAAAGUCAGAUUCAGAUCAUCUGAGGAAAAUUCCUCUAUUUUUUAAUAUCGAUUAUAUAUAUCACAGGGUUGAACAACUUUUUAAUGUUAGUGUUUUCUAAUAUCGUGCUGUCUUAAUGGGCACACGUUACUACAAACUCACUGCCUUAGCAUGGUAUUCUAAUAAAGUCACAACAGGUUAUAAGUGUUGAUUUACUCAUAAAAUAACGUAAAUAAACUAAAAACGACACAGAGAGCGCUUCAAUCAUCCAGAGACCAACACAGAAAAUCAACCAGUCAAACUUUACCUUUCUCUGUCUGAAGUUGCUCUGAAAGCUUCUCCAUCGGUACCAAAGUCGUCUGAAAACCUCAGUGUAGGUUUUCUCACUCAGGAAGGAUUUAUCACAGACAUUUUCCUUUGAAAUAAUCCCUUUUUUGUCACUUUUCUCUCUUUUUGCUCCGUUUCUCUGCUCUGUUGUGUGUCUAUCCGCUGCUUUCUUUGAGAGGGGGAGAGGGGACGGAGAGACAGGUUUUCUCACUUCCCUAAACAGCAGGAGGGUUAUUACCGUAAUAACCGUUUAUUGGCUGUGUGGCGCAACUUCUCACCUUUCAGAAACCGUUGGAGUUUUUUUGACAGCACAAACUUUCCCACAGUUACGGUAAUUUAAAGAGCGCCUGUGCAAAAGGUGUCGGCGCCGACGGACUGUGAGGAAAAGUCUGUGUGGAUGAAAACUCAGCUGACUGAUUUUCACAAAGACGUUUCAGUGUUGAGAAGUUUGGUUCAUUUUAUUUUUCUUCUCUUUCAGAAGAUGGCCUCCCGCAGGAGGUUUUAGAUGAACAUAAGAUCAGUCUGAAGAGGAGAUGUGAACGUGUGAAUGAAGGAAGUGAUGAAACAGGAAGUAGUCAAACCCUCCUCAACAGGAUCUUCACUGAGCUCUACAUCACAGAGGGACUGAGUGAAGAGGUGAACACCCAACAUGAGGUGAGACAGCUGGAGAAAACUUCAAAGAUGAAGACCCUCCAUGACAUGCCCAUCAAGUGUCAUGAGAUCUUUAAAACCUUACCUGACCAACAGAAGAAGCUCAUCAGAGUGGUUCUGACCAACGGCGUGGCUGGUGUUGGAAAAACCUUCUCAGUGCAGAAGUUCACUCUGGACUGGGCAGAGGGUUUGGAGAACAAAGACCUCCAUCUGGUGGUCCUGCUUUCAUUCAGGGAGCUGAACCUGAUCAGAGAAGAGCGCUUCAGUCUUCUGAGUCUGCUCCAUGUUUUCCAUCCAACACUAGAGAAGGUCACAGCAGAGACGCUGGCUGUCUGUAAACUUCUGUUCAUCUUUGACGGUCUGGAUGAAAGCAGACUGUCUCUGGAUUUCACAGACUCUGAGGUGGUGUCUGACGUCACACAGAAGUCUUCACUCAACGUUCUGUUAACAAACCUCAUCAAGGGGAACCUGCUCCCCUCAGCUCUCAUCUGGAUAACUUCUCGACCUGCAGCAGCCAAUCAGAUCCCUCCUUCACGUGUGGACAGGAUAACAGAAGUACGAGGCUUCAAUGACACCCAGAAGGACGAGUACUUCAGGAAGAGGUUCACAGAUGAAGAUCUGUCCAGAAGAAUCAUCUCACACAUCAAGUCCUCCAGGAGCCUCCACAUCAUGUGUCAGAUCCCGGUCUUCUGCUGGAUCACUGCGACAGUUCUGGAGGACAUGAUGAUCAGAGAGCAGAGAGGAGAGCUGCCCAAGACCCUGACUGACAUGUACUCACACUUCCUGCUGGUCCAGACUAAGAGGAAGAAGCAGAAGUAUGGAGGAGGACAUGAGACAAGUCCUCAGGCACUGAUGGAUGCUGACAGUGACGUCCUCCUGAAGCUGGGGAGGCUGGCAUUGGAACAUCUGAACAGAGGAAACAUCAUGUUCUACCAAGAAGACCUGGAGCGGUGUGGUCUGGAUGUCUCAGAGGCCUCGGUGUACUCAGGAGUUUGUACAGAGAUCUUCAGAAGAGAGAGUGUGAUCUUCCAGAAAACUGUUUACUGUUUUGUUCAUCUGAGCGUUCAGGAGUUUCUGUCUGCAGUCUACAUGAUCCACAGUUUCACAAACAGGAACACAGAAGCUCUGAAGACUUUCCUAAGAAGCAACGAUGAUGAAGAUAAAAUGUCUUCUUCAGAGAUGGUUGACAGAUUUUUUCAAAACCUGGAUUAUUUUUUCUCAUCUCAGGAUGUCUUCCUGAAGAGUGUCAUGAUGAAAUCCCUUGUCAGUAAAAACGGUCACCUGGACCUGUUUGUUCGCUUCCUUCAUGGACUCUCUGUGGAGUCAAACCAGAGACUCUUAGGAGUUCUGCUGGGUCACACAGACAACAGUCCAGAAAUGAUCCAAACAGUCAUCAACAAUCUGAAGGAGAUGAACAGUGAAGAUAUCUCUCCUGACAGAAGCAUCAACAUCUUCCACUGUCUGAUGGAGAUGAACGAUCUGUCAGUUCAUCAGGAGAUUCAAGAGUUCCUGAAGUCAAAGAACAGAUCAGAGAAGGAACUCUCAGAGAUCCACUGCUCUGCUCUGGCCUACAUGCUACAGAUGUCAGAGGAGGUUCUGGAGGAGUUGGACUUAAAGAAUUAUAAAACAUCAGACCAGGGACGACUGAGACUGAUCCCAGCUGUGAGGAACUGCAGAAAGGCUGUGUGAGUCCAGGUUUUAUUCUCAGAAAAGUGUAAAUGAUCCCUGUAGUUCUUCUAAUGUCCACGUUACUGAUGAUGUUCUUCUUCAAAUAGAAAUCAAAUAUCAGGGAGGGGGUUUCUUUAGCAAAAACAUGAUCCUGGUGUCUAAAGUCCUGUUAGCCCAGGAUGAGGUCUACCUGUGGACCCCUGAGAACUUGUCCUGAUUGUGGAGGACCUCUUUGUUUUGAAUCGUGUCUGUAAUGAAUAAAGUGGAACUUUGAGGACAAAUCAGCGACCAUAUCUGAGGACACACAGAGGUCUUCUGAUGAUGGUAUCAGUCCAGAUCAACAUCUCAGUCAGUUGUGGUGAACUUGAGUUUGAAGAAGGUGUCUGCAGCUUCUUCCUGCUGGUUUUCAGGUUGGAAAUGAUGAAUCUGUUGUAAAUGAGGGUGUUGACAGCAUUGAUGGUGAAAAUAGAACUGGAUCAUUUUCUACACAGUGUCAGAACUGUCUCUGUACCAUCAUGUUCAUCAUUCAGUAUUCAUAAUCAAUACAACCAUGAAAACUAACAUCAUUUUCCACCACUCACUGGAGAUUAUCUGCUGGACUAGAACAUAUGAAUGAUGAGAACACAGGAGGUAUUUGGACAGCAGCUCCAUGAGUCUGAAAAAAGUGGUGGAGAUAGGAUGUUAAUGUCUCUCUCUCUCUCUCUCUCUCUCUCUCUCUCUCUCUCACUCUCUCUCUCUCUCUCUGUCUCUCUCUCUCUGCCCACGGUGCUGCAGGUUGGCACUUACACUAGUCUGCCUCAUAACACCUCAUAGCAUGUGAAAACAGCCGUGCUCUUCCACUGUAUAUAUGGACACCAUGUCUCUAAGGAGAAGCAGUGUGACUGCAUCAUCAUCAUCAUCAUCAUCAUCAGUUUUCCAUGUUGUCCCUUUGUUGUCAUGGUGAUGCAGAGUGAAGAUGAUUCCUCUCAUGUUGAGAUGUUGGUGGGCUGUAACUCGGCUGCACGCCUCUGUUUCAGAUGUUGAUGUAAAUUGGUCAGACUGCUGCCUUCUGCUGAAACAGCCUGUAAACAAACACUGCAGCAGACUGGGGUUUGAUCCAGGUCUGAGUCUGAGAGACUGAACCAGGUCUAAAGGACUAACAAGGACUCUUUUAGGGAGCAGAAAAGUCUGUUUUUGGUCAUAACUAGCAUGGCUGUGAUUAGGUUGAAUUAAUACAGGUACCCAUAUUGAUCCUCCAUGUUGGUAUUAUCAGGACUCAUUAUUGAUACCUCACUUCAUGAUUUAGUGCAAACAUUUAAAAAAGAGAAGAAAACAUGUUCAAAGAUGAAUCUCUUUUAUUUCUUCUGACUCCAGAUGUUUCUUUCUGCAUCAAACACACAAACUAGAAAAAUUCAAUGUUAUUUUUAUAGGAAUCAUGGGAAUGUACGCCCCCUAGAGUUACAUGGAGAAAAAACUUUCAUUGUGAAAACAAAGAAAUUUUGAAUUCUUCAAAUGUUCAGAGUCAAACCAGCUCUAACCUGCUAAAAAAUGUUUUUAUCUGAACCAAUCAGAGAAACAGGAGCUGCUGUGAUUUAGUGAGUCGUCCUCUGAUUGGUCAACAGUCAGUGUCUAUGGAAAGACUUACAUUACAGCAGGAUGUCAACAUUAAACACUGAGAGGAGCACUGAUUCUCCAAGAGGUACUUUGGAUACUGACCAAUCACAUACCAGGACCAAAAACCUGGUUCUCAGUCCCCUUCUCCAACCAGAACUCAAGAAUUCACUCAAUCAUAAUGAUCCAGCUGCACUAACAUGAAGACAACACUGUUAGAGAACAGAAUGACUAAAAUAAGUCAUGGAGUCAUUUGUCUUGAACAUCAAAACAGUUUUUUUUUUCUUCUAAACUUUGACUUCCUGUCUUCUCUCAUGGCUGUGGUCCUGAUAUUAGUAUCUGUCUGGUUAAAAACAGGCCGUCUGUCAAACCAAAGAUCAUGUUUGUUUUUGGUGAGGAGAAACAUCAAAUUACCCUUUAAUGAAAUAUUGUUGAUAUUUAUGUUGUUACAGAUUUUCUCUCUGUGGACUCUCAGAGACUCACUGUGAAGUUGUGGCCUCAGCUCUGAAGUCCAACCCCUCCCAUCUGAGAUAUCUGGACCUGAGUAACAACGAGCUGAAGGAUUCAGGGGUGAAGCUUCUCUCUGCAGGACUGGAGAGUCCAAACUGCAGACUGGAGACUCUGAGGUGAGACACCAUUUCCUUCUGAUCUAACAAUAAGAUGUGACAGCUGCUGCCUUAGAUUUUUCUCUGUGGUUUUUCCAUCAACUUUGGUCGAGCAGUUUGAAUUUGUCGUUGUAAAACUUCAACACAGGAAGAAAAAUCCGACAUUUCAGAGUUGACUUUGAGGAGAACGAUGGAUGUAGAAAGGAAGCAGGAGAAAAUCAGUCCACAAAUAUUACACAUGCUUGUAGAGGGCAGGAGCAGCACAGACUAAAGACUGAUACUGAACUGAUCCACAGUUAAUGUGAUCACUAAUGAAUGAAUGAAGUGUCAGAGAAAUGAGGAGCUGCAGAUUGAAACCUGAAGAACAAAGUUAAUCCAACUCUGGAUAUUUCAUUUGGAAACUCUUGAAAACUUGAAUUUCUUCUUUGCUCAGUCGUGUUCAAAUGUAAAAACCAGAUCCAGAUUUGUCUGCAGUUUUCACUUCAGUUUGUUGAACAUGAACAUCAUCUUGUCCAGUUGGUCCAUAAAAACCUCUCUGAUCAAUGAUCUGUUGGUUUAUUUAAGAGUAGUUUGGCAGUUGUUGACAGCAGACGGACAGACCCCUGAAUAAACUCCUGACUGUUUUCAUCUUCAUGAAGAAUUCAGGACUACAAAAGAACCUUUGAGAUUUCUCACAUGAGUUUCUCAGGAUCUCACUAAAGUUUUCUGUUUCUUUAAAAUUUUCUUGACUGAUAAAUUCCUCAGGAUCUUCAAAAAGUUUAGAGAAGAUUUUACAAAGUUCCUGAAGAUCAACUCUGAAAAAGUUCUUCUUCCGUGUCCUUCAGGGGCUCAAGAACAUUGAAUCAUUAAAAACAGGAACAGUUUCUUCAGAGGUUCCAUGAUUUUUUUCUUUUUUCAGACUGUGACAGGUGUUUAUUAGUCUUUUUGACACAUUACAAUAAUGAGGAUAAAGUCAUGGACUAAACUUGGGCUCCCAGUUUCCUUGUUGUUGUUUCUUCAGCUAGCAUCAUUGUUUUCAUCACAGUUAUUAAAGUAAUAAUGAUGCUUCAUAAAUUCAGAGUCACAAAAAAACACCAAACAAACCAAAUCUGAAAAAAAUUCACUUUUUCAUCAAAUGAGUUUAAUCGGUCAGAACAUGAGGUUUGAGUUUUCAUGAGGAGGAAACGAGAAAGAUCUGCUCUGACAGUGAGAAACACAGACGCCUGAAUCUACACUGACAGACAGACAAACACAGACAGAGAGACACAGACAGAGAGACACAGACACAGACACACAAAUACAGACACACAGAGACACAGACACACAGACUAACAGAGAUUUUCUUCUUCGUCUCUUUGCUGUGAUGACUGAAGUCACAAAAACAAAGUUUUCUUCGUCACUUUUAUGAUUGAACCAAAUAAGUUAAAGAACCAAACUCUCAGAUUUUCUUCUUCUCAAUAUUAUUUGAACCAUUUUGAUUUUUCUCCUGAUCAAUAUUCAAUGAUCAGAUUGAUCAGGUUCCUGUUUUGGCUCCACUGCCUCUUUUCUGCAGCUCAAUAACUGCUCAUAUGGUUUGAAAGGUUCCUGCAGUAAAAACCCGAUUAGAGAGUGGACUAAAUGAAAUGUGAGUGAACUCAGCCAUCAGUGAAUCAAUGACAAAGUGAGAGGAAGAGUGGAUCUGUCUGCUCUCUGACCUUGUUGAUCCUGAUGAAGGUGAGGGAGAAGAGUAAAGCAGUAAAGGUGAUGUUGUUGCAGACAGAGUCAGCUGACCUGUCUCAUCAGAGUCUCAUCCAUUCUCUGUUUGGCAGAGCGCUGAUGUUACAGUCUGAGAGCACAUUCAGGUUCAGCUUCACAUGGGCUGGAUCUGCUCAAUACAAACUCUUAAGACCAGCCUGGUUGAGGGAGGUGGGCUCAGUGUCCUGGGUGACUCUCUCUGAGCUCUUCUUGGUUGAGAGUAUUUCUGGUUUGUCACUGACUUCCAUGAACUCAGAUCUGGAGGAUUGCUGGCUGGUCUGGUCCAGUUCUGACAGUAGAGACAACACAGUCUGUUAUUCUGGGUUGAGUGUUCUUGUUGAAGAUCAGUGUACAGUGAGGGAUGAAGGCAGACAAAGAUCCUCCUGUUUCCUCCAUGUCACAGUUCAAGUUCAUUUUGAAGACUUUGAUUGAUCCGAGCGCUGAAGAGGAACAGGAAACGAGGAGUAGAGAGUGAGGGAGGACUUACAGCAAAGGAUCAUGGGAGUCCAACCAGCAACUGCUGCAACAAGGACUCCACCUUCUGAUCACCUGAACCUCUAAUCCAAACCAGUGCUCCAUCACAUUUGAUGUCUUGUCUGUUAUUUUACAUGGAGGGUCAGAGCAGACCAGAUCAUGAGCUCUGACAGACUGGAUCUGGUCCAAAGGUCUCCUGUUGGAGUUCUCUAAGCUCCAUAUUUUAAACCUGAACACCUGAAGUUUGAUUAUUAAUUAUUUUUAUCUUCAUUCUCUUUCCUUUUUUCAGAUUGUAUAAAUGCAGUUUGUCAGAGAUCAGCUGUUCUUCUCUGGCCUCAGCUCUGAAGUCCAACCCCUCCCAUCUGAGACAUCUGGACCUGAGCUUAAACGAUCUGCAGGAUUCAGGAGUGAAGCUUCUGUGUGACUUUCUGCAGAGUCCAAACUGUAAACUGGAGACUCUAGAGUGAGACUUUUUCCCUCCAUUCAAACAUGAUCAUGAUUUGUUUGUGAUGAUGACACUAAACUGCUGACUCAGGACUGAAAUACUGACCCAGACUGAACACCUUCAGUCCAGAGUAGAUUUUCUGCAUCAGUGGAUUAUUUGAUUGACUCCAGUUAGAUCACUGCUGAGCUCCAGUGAAUUAAAACCUGAACCCAAGAGGAAAACUCUUUGUAGAGUUCAUAGUGAGAAGCACAUUCAGACAGAAAACAGAAGCAGGGGGAGAUUUGUCAGAUGAGAACCAUUCAAACUUUUGUUCAGGACAAGAUCAGGGAAUAGAAAAAACUCAGAGUUUAGUUUCUGACUCUGAUGAAAGUCCAGCUCUGUUACUUUGAAUUUUGUUUUUGAAUCUUUGUGUAAAAAUCUGAAUUUUCUGGUUUAUCUGCACUUUUCUGAAGCCUUGCUGUGUUUAGACUGAAAUAUUUACCUCCCAAACACGUGAUAUUUUUUAUCUGCAUCUACAAUCAGUAAAAAAGUCUCUGAGUUUUUUAUUUCACUAUUUAAUGUGUUUUUGAAUUCACUGUUUCAAACUGACUUCCUGUUUGGUUCAGCUCUUUGGAGCGUCACUUUUCUUUGAUUCAGACUUUCCAAACCUUUCCCCUGAACUCUACAGAUUUAAGACAUCAGGUUUCAAACUGGAUCAUUUUUGUCUAAAAUCUCAUUAUUUCCUCUUUAUUUAGGUUGUGGCGCUGCAGUUUGACGAAGAUCAGCUGUUCUUCUCUGGCCUCAGCUCUGAAGUCCAACCCCUCCCAUCUGAGACAUCUGGACCUGACUGAAAACAAUCUGCAAGAUUCAGGAGAGAAGCUGCUGUGUGAUCUUCAGAAGAGUCCAGACUACAUACUGGAGUAUCUGCUGUCAGUCUAGAGUUGGAGUUAGUCUGUGCUGAUCUCUCCUGUUCCUCUCCACACAGUAUCACAGCAGAUAUUCAGUAUUUCCUGCUGACUCUUCGACCCUCUCAGAGGAUUAUCUCUUUAGUGAAGCUGUGAGAACAGAAAUCAUCAAACCAGGAGUGUAAGAGUGUCAGUGAUGAAAAAAGUGUCUCCUCGUCUCUAUAUUUCAGAUCAAAUGUAGAAAUGAGACAUAAUGAAACAGAAAUGUUCAGUUUCUGCUCUGAAGUCCAGUUUAUAGUUCUCUGUAUUCAACACAGACUUUAUUUCUCUGCUAACUUGUUGAUUUUGAGCUCUAAGUCUGAAAACAGACAGCUGUUCUUUAUACUUGUUAUUUUCACAGCAGGUUUGUUCGAUCAGCUUUAACACAUUUGACAGGAAUGAUUUCUUUAUUUUGAUGAUGUUGGUUUAUUUGUGAGGAAACCUGCUGCUUUACACCAUCACUUCUGGUCUGAGCAGGACUGAGACCUGCUGGUCUGUAAACUGGAUGUUCUUCAGUCCAGCUGAUGAAGUGAGUCUCAGAGUGGAAACACUGAUCGUCUUUUUUUCUCUCCUCAGAUGGUGAUAACAUCCGUCAGAGUGAUUAAGAAGAGGAUCGUGUGUUUCCUGACGAUCAGAGAGGUGGAGGCAGCAGCAGUGAGGGUGAGGUGAGUCUCUGACUGAGAGACUGACUGACCAAUCACAGCGGGCGGAGAGGACUCUGGGAGCUGCACUUUGACCUGCUCUGAGAUCAGCUCAGGACCUGGACUCUGGAUAUUUGAUAUUUUCCCUCAUACUCUGGGAUCAAACAGUCUGAACAGGUUUGUUUUGUUGAUGGAAACAUGAUCAUAAAUUUACACUUUGAUUGGAUUACUUUUUUUUACCAUGAUACAGCGCCACCCAGUGGAAAUAUAAAGAGGUGGAGUUGAUUUAUUCCCUCAUAUUUCUGUAGCAGGAGUUGAUACCAUGUGUGAGAGUAGAUCACUCAGAAGUUCAGAUAAAACCCAAAGGUUUUUUCUUUCCUCUGCACCGUUAGAGACCGAAUAUAAACUGAAGGGAGAGGAAGAGAAGUGAGGAGAGAUGGAGGUGAAGGGAGGAGGAGGAGGACAGGGUUUGGGGUUUUAACAAAAAUCUGAAGCUUUAUUCUUUCACUUGAUUAUUUUUAUUCAUCCGUUUUCUUCUUCAUUUUCUGAAAUUAUGGUAAAUAUUGACUGGAGGUAAAUUUAUUUUAUUUAAUAUUAUUAGACACUAUUUUCCGUCUCUUUACAUGUUUUUGUUCUCAUAUCAUCUUUGUGCUCAUCAAUAAUCGAUUCCCUCCAGUUUGAACAAAUACAAUUAUUAAACCAUAAAUGAGACCUGAGAGUAAAAUUAAAAUGUGUGAAAUAUAAUCAGUCAAAAGAAAGAUUCUUGAACAAAAACAAAAACAUUAUUUUUACUUUAUUAUGAUGGAGAAGUUUUCCUCUGACAGACAAAAAUAACCGUAUUGACUGGAGUCUGGAAAAAGUGAGAUCAGCAUCUAUUCAGGGUGAAGUCACUAACGUGGUCGAUGCUGUUUUAUAAACUCAGUGUUGUUGAUUACAAUCUCAGCUUCAUAAACUGAUGCUACAGCUCAUGUCACAGUCUGCUCACACCACAGAAACAUUAAACAUAGAACUAUUGUGAACAGAUUUGUCCUCUUCAGCUAAUCUACUAUCAAUAGAUCUGUGCUCUGUCUGUGUAACACUAUGUUGGUUCUUCAUUUACACCAGAUCAUUUUUUAUUUCAUUUCACUGUAACAAUGUCAUUUAAAGAUAAUAAAAACUUUAUUUGAACCAAAACAUGUUAAAAACGUCAACUCGGCUCGUUUCAUUCACUGUGUGCAAUUGAUUAUUAUUAUUUUUCAUUCAAACAGAAACUAGAUUUGGUCUUUAAAAAGUCCUCAAAGUGAGUCUGAAAAGUAGAGGAAGGUUUUCUCAUCAGGGUGCAGCACAGUUGUUUCCUGUGUUUUCAUUUGUGAUAUUCUCUCUAAGGUGUGUUAUUGUUCAUUUAAAGUAUGUGGAGGACAAAUCCACACAUCUAACAAAAAAAGGUAAAAUAUAAAGAUAGAUUUCUGCAUGACAUCAACGAUAUCCUAGAUUUAGUUUUCUAAGCAACAGGUGGUCGUCUUUUAUCGGGGGUACUUUGAUCCAGAAAUCUGAAAAGGGGUUACUAAAGCAAAAGAAGAAAAACCAGAGACUGUAUAUAGAAUGGACAGAGUCUGCCUCCUCGCUGGGUGAAGCCACUCUGAGAACAGCACCCUCUGUUGAUGGGCUGCAGUAUAGGUCAUAAAUCCCGCCUGCGCCAGCAAAGCUUAUGGAGCUGUGGACGAACUUUAGAAAUUUAUUACACAGAACAUAAUUUUUUCUCCCUCCUGGUUGUGAUGUUGACAUGUAGUUAUUGUCAGACUGGUUUGUGCUCAAGUCCUCUUUUUUCUGUACAGCUCAAUUUUUAAAAGUUAUUAGGGGGUUCAUGUUUGCUAUGACGUUUCACAGCCAUAAGGAAUAACCAAUCGGAGCCUAGCACUUCUAGCCAAUCAGAUGCGAAGGAGGGUGGGACCUUCCCCUACCAUCCCACGAAAAAAAAAAAACAAACACGUCCGGGUUUGCCGACCUUUAUUUCUGAGCCCCAGAUAACAGGACAGAGAUACCUAAAGCAUACAACGUGAACUUGUGUUAUCACUUCAACAUCUAACUAAAUAUAUGUUGGACAGUGAUCUUUGUAAAGUGAGGUGAAGGAGCAGUUUGUGUAGUGACAACACAAUCACACUGUGUGCAAAAAUAAAAACCUGUUCAACCAAAUCUUCACAUUUAUUGGGGUAUGAGAAGAGGAGCGCUCAUCUGAAGUUUGUUGGUUUGACCAGCAGGUGGAGCUGCUG
Molecule: long non-coding RNA, 15521 nt
Filed under: Xyrichtys novacula (pearly razorfish)
Lineage: Eukaryota; Metazoa; Chordata; Actinopteri; Labriformes; Labridae
Source: RNAcentral